UACGGAGGAUCCAAGCGUUAUCCGGAUUCACUGGGUUUAAAGGGUGCGUAGGUGGAAUGACAAGUCAGUGGUGAAAACCUGCAGCUUAACUGUAGAACUGCCAUUGAUACUGUUAUUCUUGAGUACAUUUGAUGUGAGCGGAAUGUGCCAUGUAGCGGUGAAAUGCUUAGAUAUGACACAGAACACCAAUUGCGAAGGCAGCUCACAAAACUGUAACUGACACUGAGGCACGAAAGCGUGGGGAGCAAACAGG
Molecule: ribosomal RNA, 253 nt
Filed under: uncultured bacterium
Lineage: Bacteria
Description: partial 16S ribosomal RNA
Rfam family: Bacterial small subunit ribosomal RNA
Source: RNAcentral